RNAcentral lists this ribosomal RNA (468 nucleotides) under uncultured bacterium. RNAcentral describes it as "partial 16S ribosomal RNA". It matches the Rfam family "Bacterial small subunit ribosomal RNA", at positions 28 to 507 of the family's 1533-position model. The record is from RNAcentral.
GACGAACGCUGGCGGCGUGCUUAACACAUGCAAGUCGAACGGAAAGGCCCUGCUUUUGUGGGGUGCUCGAGUGGCGAACGGGUGAGUAACACGUGAGUAACCUGCCCUUGACUUUGGGAUAACUUCAGGAAACUGGGGCUAAUACCGGAUAGGAGCUCCUGCGGCAUGGUGGGGGUGGGAAAGUUUCGGCGGUGGGGGAUGGACUCGCGGCUUAUCAGCUUGUUGGUGGGGUAGUGGCUUACCAAGGCUUUGACGGGUAGCCGGCCUGAGAGGGUGACCGGCCACAUUGGGACUGAGAUACGGCCCAGACUCCUACGGGAGGCAGCAGUGGGGAAUAUUGCACAAUGGGCGGAAGCCUGAUGCAGCAACGCCGCGUGCGGGAUGACGGCCUUCGGGUUGUAAACCGCUUUCGCCUGUGACGAAGCGUGAGUGACGGUAAUGGGUAAAGAAGCACCGGCUAACUACGUG